This 256-nucleotide ribosomal RNA is filed under the name uncultured bacterium. Its description in RNAcentral is "partial 16S ribosomal RNA". It matches the Rfam family "Bacterial small subunit ribosomal RNA", at positions 524 to 776 of the family's 1533-position model. The record is from RNAcentral.
UACGUAGGGUGCAAGCGUUGUCCGGAAUUAUUGGGCGUAAAGAGCUCGUAGGCGGUUUGUCGCGUCUGGUGUGAAAAAUCCAGGGCUUAACCCUGGACCUGCAUCGGGUACGGGCAGACUAGAGUGCGGGUAGGGGAGAUCGGAAUUCCUGGUGUAGCGGUGAAAAUGCGCAGAUAUCAGGAGGAACACCGGUGGCGAAGGCGGGUCUCUGGGCCGUAACUGACGCUGAGGAGCGAAAGCGUGGGGAGCGAACAGG